This 609-nucleotide ribosomal RNA is filed under the name Glomus sp. ZJ. RNAcentral's name for it is "SSU rRNA". It matches the Rfam family "Eukaryotic small subunit ribosomal RNA", at positions 644 to 1255 of the family's 1831-position model. The record is from RNAcentral. Lineage: Eukaryota; Fungi; Glomeromycota; Glomeromycetes; Glomerales; Glomeraceae.
GGGCCAGUUGGUUGGUUGUGCCUAUGGUAUGUACUGGCCUACUGGUUCCUCCUUCUUGAAGAACCGUAAUGUCAUUAAUUUGGUGUUGCGGGGAAACAGGACUGUUACUUUGAAAAAAUUAGAGUGCUUAAAGCAGGCUAACGCUUGAAUACAUUAGCAUGGAAUAAUGAAAUAGGACGUUUGAUCUUAUUUUGUUGGUUUUUAGGAUUGACGUAAUGAUUAAUAGGGAUAGUUGGGGGCAUUAGUAUUCAAUUGUCAGAGGUGAAAUUCUUGGAUUUAUUGAAGACUAACUAUUGCGAAAGCAUUUGCCAAGGAUGUUUUCAUUAAUCAAGAACGAAAGUUAGGGGAUCGAAGACGAUCAGAUACCGUCGUAGUCUUAACCAUAAACUAUGCCGACUAGGGAUCGGAUGAUGUUAAUUUUUUAAUGACUCAUUCGGCGCCUUACGGGAAACCAAAGUGUUUGGGUUCCGGGGGGAGUAUGGUCGCAAGGCUGAAACUUAAAGGAAUUGACGGAAGGGCACCACCAGGGGUGGAGCCUGCGGCUUAAUUUGACUCAACACGGGGAAACUCACCAGGUCCAGACAUAGUAAGGAUUGACAGAUUGAGAGC